GCUCCAAGAAGCUUAAGGCCAAAAUCUACAUGUGGCUGCACAAAGAAACACAGAAUAACUAGACAGCAAACAGGAUUGGGGUUAUCUUAUUAUAUAAAAAAAACCUUGUAGAUGCAGCUCCUGUAAACAUAAAGAAUAAAUAGACAGCAGACA
Long non-coding RNA from Rhodamnia argentea, 153 nucleotides. RefSeq lists it as uncharacterized. The transcript is spliced from 3 exons. NCBI's taxonomy places the organism in Eukaryota, Viridiplantae, Streptophyta, Magnoliopsida, Myrtales, Myrtaceae. The record is from RefSeq and is a predicted model, not a curated record.